UACAGAGGUCUCAAGCGUUGUUCGGAUUCAUUGGGCGUAAAGGGUGCGUAGGCGGCGCGGUAAGUCGGGUGUGAAAUCUCGGAGCUUAACUCCGAAACUGCAUUCGAUACUGCCGUGCUUGAGGACUGGAGAGGAGACUGGAAUUUACGGUGUAGCGGUGAAAUGCGUAGAUAUCGGAAGGAACGCCGGUGGCGAAAGCGAUCCGCUGGCCCUCUUCUGACGCUGAGGCGCGAAAGCCAGGGGAGCAAACGGG
RNAcentral lists this ribosomal RNA (253 nucleotides) under uncultured bacterium. RNAcentral's name for it is "partial 16S ribosomal RNA". It matches the Rfam family "Bacterial small subunit ribosomal RNA", at positions 524 to 776 of the family's 1533-position model. The record is from RNAcentral.